Molecule: long non-coding RNA, 6197 nt
Filed under: Salmo salar (Atlantic salmon)
Lineage: Eukaryota; Metazoa; Chordata; Actinopteri; Salmoniformes; Salmonidae
Description: lncRNA (ENSSSAG00000108289.1)
Source: RNAcentral
ACUUCAGUUCAAAAGUUUGGGGUCACUUGGAAAUGUCCUUAUUUUUUAAAGAAAAGCAAAUUUUUGUCCAUUAAAAUAACAUCAAUUUGAUCAGAAAUACAGUGUAGACAUUGAUAAUGUUAUAAAUGACUAUUGUAGCUGGAAACGGCAGAUUUUUAAUGGAAUAUCUACAUAGGUGUACAGAGGCCCAUUAUCAGCAACCAUCACUCCUGUGUUCCAAUGGCAUGUUGUGCUAGCUAAUCCAAGAUUAUCAUUUUAAAAGGCUAAUUGAUCAUUAGAAAACCCUUUUGCAAUUAUGUUAGCACAGCUGAAAACUGUUGUCCUGAUUAAAGAAGCAAUAAAACUGUCCUUCUUUACACUAGUUGAGUAUCUGGAGCAACAGUAUUUGUGGGUUCAAUUACAGGCUCAAAAUGGCCAGAAACAAAGACCUUUCUUCUGAAACUUGUCAGUCUAUUCUUGUUCUGAGAAAUGAAGGCUAUUCUAUGUGAGAACUUGCCAAGAAACUGAAGAUCUCGUACAACGCUGUGUACUACUCCCUUCACAGAACAGCGCAAACUGGCUCUAACCAGAAUAGAAAAAGGAGUGGGAGGCCCCGGUGCACAACUGAGCAAGAGGACAAGUACAUUAGAGUGUCUAGUUUGAGAAACAGACGCCUCACAAGUCCUCAACUGGCAGCUUCAUUAAAUAGUACCUGCAAAACACCAGUCUCAAUGUCAACGGUGAAGAGGCGACUCUGGGAUGCUGGCCUUCUAGGCAGAGUUGCAAUAGAAAAAGCCAUAUCUCAGACUGACCAAUAAAAAGAAAAGAUUAAGAUGGGCAAAAGAACACAGACAAUUGACAGAGGAAGAUUGGAAAAAAGUGUUACGGACAGACAAAUCUAAGUUUGAGGUGUUCGGAUCACAAAGAAGAACAUUCAUGAGACGGUGAAAAAAUGAAAAGAUGCUGGAGGAGUGUUUGACGCCAUCUGUCAUCAUGGUAGAGGCAAUGUGAUGGUCUGGGGCUGAUUUGGUGGUGGUAAAGUGGGAGAUUUAUACAGGGUUAAAGGGGUCUUGAAGAAGGAAGGCUAUCACUCCAUUUUGCAACGCCAUGCCAUACCCUGUGGACGGCGACUAAUUGGAGCCAAUUUCCUCCUACAACAGGACAAUGACCCAAAGCACAGCUCCAAACUAUGCAAGAACGAUUUAGGGAAGAAGCAGUCAGCUGGUAUUCUGUCUAUAAUGGAGUGGCCAGCACCGUCACCGGAUCUCAACCCUAUUGAGCUGUUGUGGGAGCAGCUUGACCGUAUGGUACGUAAGAAGUGCCCAUCAAGCCAUUCCAACUUGUGGGAGGUGCUUCAGGAAGCAUUGGGGUGAAAUCUCUUCAGAUUACCUCAACAAACUGACGACUAGAAUACCAAAGGUCUGCAAAGCUGUAAUUGCUGCAAAUUAAGGAUUCUUUGACAAAAGCAAAGUUUGAAGGACACAAUUAUUAUUUCAAUAAAAAAAUCAUUAUUUAUAACCUUGUCAAUGUCUUGACUAUAUUUCCUAUUCAUUUUUCAACUCAUUUCAUGUAUGUUUUCAUGGAAAAUAAGGACAUUUCUAAGUCACAGAUCAUUUAGAGGAGGCUGGGUUGCUGUAGUUUAUCACAGAUCAUUUAGAGGAGGCUGGGUUGCAGUAGUUUAUCACAGAUCAUUUAGAGGAGGCUGGGUUGCUGUAGUUUAUUACAGAUCAUUUAGAGGAGGCUGGGUUGCUGUAGUUUAUUACAGAUCAUUUAGAGGAGGCUGGGUUGCUGUAGUUUAUCACAGAUCAUUUAGAGGAGGCUGGGUUGCUGUAGUUUAUCACAGAUCAUUUAGAGGAGGCUGGGUUGCUGUAGUUUAUCACAGAUCAUUUAGAGGAGGCUGGGUUGCUGUAGUUUCUUACAGAUCAUUUAGAGGAGGCUGGGUUGCUGUAGUUUAUCACAGAUCAUUUAGAGGAGGCUGGGUUGCAGUAGUUUAUUACAGAUCAUUUAGAAGGAGGCUGGGUUGCAGUAGUUUAUUACAGAUCAUUUAGAGGAGGCUGGGUUGCUGUAGUUUAUCACAGAUCAUUUAGAAGGAGGCUGGGUUGCUGUAGUUUAUCACAGAUCAUUUAGAGGAGGCUGGGUUGCAGUAGUUUAUUACAGAUCAUUUAGAGGAGGCUGGGUUGCUGUAGUUUAUCACAGAUCAUUUAGAGGAGGCUGGGUUGCUGUAGUUUAUCACAGAUCAUUUAGAGGAGGCUGGGUUGCUGUAGUUUAUUACAGAUCAUUUAGAGGAGGCUGGGUUGCUGUAGUUUAUCACAGAUCAUUUAGAGGAGGCUGGGUUGCUGUAGUUUAUCACAGAUCAUUUAGAGGAGGCUGGGUUGCAGUAGUUUAUUACAGAUCAUUUAGAGGAGGCUGGGUUGCUGUAGUUUAUCACAGAUCAUUUAGAAGGAGGCUGGGUUGCUGUAGUUUAUCACAGAUCAUUUAGAGGAGGCUGGGUUGCAGUAGUUUAUUACAGAUCAUUUAGAGGAGGCUGGGUUGCUGUAGUUUAUCACAGAUCAUUUAGAGGAGGCUGGGUUGCAGUAGUUUAUCAGAGAUCAUUUAGAGGAGGCUGGGUUGCUGUAGUUUAUCACAGAUCAUUUAGAAGGAGGCUGGGUUGCUGUAGUUUAUCACAGAUCAUUUAAUUCCAAACAAAAUGGGGUGAUUAUUCUGAAAAACAAAAUACUUGUAAUGUUGAAGCAACACUCUGAUGAGUCCGGCAGUCUUAUCUGCAUUGAGGCUCUUAUAAAUGGGACUAAGGUAGUGUUAUGCAACAUUAAUGCUCCCAACAAGGAGGACCCUGAUGUUUUUCAUGACGUCAACGUUAUACUAGGAAAUAUGGAGGGGCAGAUCGUCCUUCCUGGAGACUUCAACCUUCAUCUAACGGGCAGAUCGUCCUUCCUGGAGACUUUAACCUUCAUCUAUAAUGGGCAGAUCGUCCUUAAUUGAGAAUUUGACCAAGUGAUGGACAAUAUGAUUGACAGAAGUCAAUUUACAGGUAACUCCAUGCCAAAGGAUAGACUUGCAAUACAUAUGCUAGCAGAAGAUAUGGGCCUUACAGACAUAUGGAGAUCAGUCCAUCCUAAUGAUAGAGAAUAUACUUUUUUCUCCCACUGUCAUAAGACACACUCCAGAAAAGAUUUCUUCCUGAUAUCCAAUUUCAUGGUUAAUAAUGUGAUUGAUUGCAAGAUUGGUCCCAUUGUCCUCACAGAUCAUGCUAUAGUAGAGUUACAUGUUGAUAUAAACUCAGUUUUGAUAUAAAUGUGAGGAAGGGUAGAUUUAGACUGAACACCAUGCUGUUACAAGAUGAGAUAUUUAGCCAGUCACUAGCAGAUGAUCUUAGAUCCUUUUUUGAGAUCAACAUACAGUGCCAGUCAAAAGUUUGGACACACCUACUCAUUCCAGGGUUUUUUCUUUAUUUCUACUAUUUUCUACCUUGUAGAAUAAUAGUGAAGACAUCAGGUGUAAAAUAACACAUGUAGAAUCAUGUAGUAACUAACAAAAGUGAUACACAAAUAAAAAUAUAUAUUUUAUAUUUGAGAUUCUUCAAAGUAGCCAUCCUUUGCCUUGAUGAUAGCUUUGCACACUUUUGGCAUUCUCUCAACCAGCUUCAUGAGGUAGUCACCUGGAAUGCAUUUCAAUUAACAGGUGUGGCUUGUUAAAUAUUUAUUUGUGGAAUUUAUUUCCUUCUUAAUGCGUUUUAACCAAUCAGUUGUAUUGUGACAAGGUAGAGGUGUUAUACAGAAGAUAGCCCUAUUUGGUAAAAGGAAAGGAAAGUAAGACCCAGAGUUACGUCUGCUGCAGAGGAUACGUUCAUUAGAGUUACCAGCCUCAGAAAUUGCAGCCCAAAUAAAUGCUUCACAGAGUUCAAAUAACAGACACAUCUCAACAUCAACUGUUCAGAGGAGACUGUGUGAAUCAGGCCUUCGUGGUCAAAUUGCUGCAAAGGAACCACUACUUAAGGACACCAAUAAGAAGAGACUUGCUUGGGCCAAGAAACAUGAGCAAUUAGACCAAUGAAAAUAUUUCCUUUGGUCUGAUGAGCCCAAAUUUGAGAUUUUUGGUUCCAACCGUCGUGUCUUUGUGAGACUCAGAGUAGGUGAACGGAUGAUCUCCGCAUGUGUGGUUCCCACUGUGAAGCAUGGAGGAGGUGGUGUGAUGGUGCUUUGCUGGUGACACUGUCAGUGAUUUAUUUAGAAUUCAAGGCACACUUAACCAGCAUGCUACCACAGCAUUCUGCAGCGAUACGCCAUCCCAUCUGGUUUGAGCUUAGUGGGACUAUAAUUUGUUUUUCAACAGGACAAUGACCCAACACACCUCCAGGCUGUGUAAGGGCUAUUUGACCAAGAAGGAGAGUGAUGGAGUGCUGCAUCAGAUGACCUGGUCUCCACAAUUACCUGACCUCAACUCAAUUGAGAUGGUUUGGGAUGACUUGGAUCGCAGAGUGAAGGAAAAGCAUCCAACAAGUGCUCAGCAUAUGUGGGAACUCCUUCAAGUCUGUUGGAAAAGCAUUCCAGGUGAAGCUGGUUGAGAGAAUGCCAAGAGUGUGCAAAGCUGUCAUCAAGGCAAUGGGUGGCUACUUUGAAAAAUCUAAAAUCUAUUUUGAUUUGUUUAACACAUUUUUGGUUACUACAUGGUUCCAUAUGUGUUAUUUCAUAGCUUUGAUGUCUUCACUUUUAUUCUACAAUGUAGAAAAUAGUAAAAAUAAACAAAAACCCUUGAAUGAGAAGGUGUGUCCAAACUUUUGACUGGUACUAUACAUUAGACCUCACAGCUAAACUGUUUCAAUCAGGAGAAUUACAAGAACUACGGUAGAGUAUUGGAAGAACUAAGGUAGGCCUCACAGCUAAACUGGUUCAAUCAGGGAUAUUACAAGAACUACGGUAGAGUAUUGAAGAACUAAGGUAGGCCUCACAGCUAAACUGGUUCAAUCAGGGAUAUUACAAGAAAUACGGUAGAGUAUUAGAAGAACUAAGGUAGGCCUCACAGCUAAACUGGUUCAAUCAGGGAUAUUACAAGAAAUACGGUAGAGUAUUAGAAGAACAUUUACAUUUUACACUUACGUCAUUUAGCAGACGCUCUUAUCCAGAGCGACUUACAAAUUGGUGCAUUCACCUUAUGAUAUCCAGUGGAACAACCACUUUACAAUAGUACAUCUAUAUCUUUUUUUUUGGGGGGGGGGUUAGAAGGAUUACUAUAUCCUAUCCCAGGUAUUCCUUAAAGAGGUGGGGUUUCAGCUGUCUCCGGAAGGUGGUGAUUGACUCCGCUGUCCUGGCGUCGAGAGGGAGCUUGUUCCACCAUUGGGGUGCCAGAGCAGCGAACAGUUUUGACUGGGCUGAGCAGGAACUGUGCUUCCGCAGAGGUAGGGGGGCCAGCAGGCCAGCGGUGGAUGAAAGCAGUGCCCUUCUUUGGGUGUAGGGACUGAUCAGAGCCUGAAGGUACGGAGGUGCCGUUCCCCUCACGGCUCCGUAGGCAAGCACCAUGGUCUUGUAGCAGACGCGAGCUUCAACUGGAAACCAGUGGAGAGAGCGGAGGAGCGGGGUGACGUGAGAGAACUUGGGAAGGUUCAACACCAGACGGGCUGCGGCGUUCUGGAUGAGUUGUAGGGGUUUGAUGGCACAGGCAGGGAGCCCAGCCAACAGCGAGUUGCAGUAAUCCAGACGGGAGGUCUCACAAGUAAACUGGUUCAAUCAGGAGUAUUACAAGAACUACGGUAGAUCAUCUCAGAUUUACAAAGUAUGGGGUAUUUCAAACAUUUUGGCUAGUAUUGGCAAACUCAUAAAGUACUGCACAUUCCCAAAUCAACAAAAUAUGGACUAGGGAGUCUGUCUGCAGUUUCCCACUAUGACUGACUGGUGGUAGUUUAGACUGCUUCAGACACUCACCCAUCUGGCGAAUCCCUGGAUAGAAGCCUAGAGAAUCCCUUGCCUGGAUUUUAUACUGACAACCACAGGCUGUACUGUACUGCCCUCCAUAGGCCUUUACACAGACAGACGGACGGACGGACGGACAGACGGAGGGGCUAUGGGUUUACCUUCCCUGGCUGCUGAAGCCUACAGGAGAGGAGAGCACCCUUCCUCCCUCUCUCUCUCUCUCUCUUUCUUUCUUUCUUUCUUUCUUUCUUUCUUUCUUUCUUUCUUUCUUUCUUUCUUUCUUUCUUUCUUUCUUUCUUUCUUUCUUUCUUUCUU